GGAGGAUGCGAGCGUUAUCCAGAUUUAUUGGGUUUAAAGGGGUGCGUAGGGUUGUUCGGUAAGUCAGCGGUGAAACCUGAGCGCUCAACGGUCAGCCUGCCGUUGAAACUGCCGGGCUGAGUUCAGUGGCGGCAGGCGGAAUUCGUGGUGUAGCGGUGAAAUGCAUAGAUAUCACGAGGAACUCCGAUUGCGAAGGCAGCUUGCCAUACUGCGACUGACAACUGAAGCACGAAGGCGUGGAGUAUCAAAACAGGAAUUAGAUACCCUGGUAGUCCACGCAGUAAACGAUGAUUACUAGGAGUUUGCGACAUACCGUCAAGCUUCCACAGCGAAAGCGUUAAGUAAUCCACCUGGGGAGUACGCCGGCAACGGUGAAACUCAAAGGAAUUGACGGGGGCCCGCACAAGCGGAGGAACAUGUGGUUUAAUUCGAUGAUACGCGAGGAACCUUACCCGGGAUUGAAAUGUAGAUGACGGAUGGUGAAGACCGUCUUCCCUUCGGGGCGUCUAUGUAGGUGCUGCAUGGUUGUCGUCAGCUCGUGCCGUGAGGUGUCGGCUUAAGUGCCAUAACGAGCGCAACCCACAUCGGUAGUUGCUAACAGUUUUCGCUGAGGACUCUACCGAGACUGCCGUCGUAAGGCGCGAGGAAGGUGUGGAUGACGUCAAAUCAGCACGGCCCUUACAUCCGGGGCGACACACGUGUUACAAUGGGAGGGACAAAGGGCAGCUACCGGGCGACCGGAUGCGAAUCUCUAAACCCUUCCCCAGUUCGGAUCGGAGUCUGCAACUCGACUCCGUGAGGCUGGAUUCGCUAGUAAUCGCGCAUCAGCCAUGGCGCGGUGAAUACGUUCCCGGGCCUUGUACACACCGCCCGUCAAGCCAUAGGAGUCGGAAAAAUGCCUGAAGGGCGUAACCGCAAGGGGCGCACUAAGGGUCAAUAUUUUGAGUUACCUGGGGCUUAAGGUUUCAGGU
RNAcentral lists this ribosomal RNA (971 nucleotides) under uncultured bacterium. RNAcentral's name for it is "bacterial SSU rRNA". It matches the Rfam family "Bacterial small subunit ribosomal RNA", at positions 527 to 1496 of the family's 1533-position model. The record is from RNAcentral.